AGCGAACGUUUGCGGCGGGCUUAACACAUGCAAGUCGAACGAGAAUCCCUUCGGGGAGGAAAGUGGCGCACGGGUGCGUAACACGUGGAUAACCAACCCAUUGGUUUGGGACAACACCGGGAAACUGGUGCUAAUACCAGAUGUGUCGCAGCUGUCUUCAGGCGGUUGCGAGAAAGGCCCGCAAGGGUCGCCAACGGACGGGUCCGCGUCCCAUCAGCUAGUUGGUGAGGUAAUGGCUCACCAAGGCAAAGACGGGUAGCUGGUCUGAGAGGAUGAUCAGCCACACGGGUACUGAGACACGGACCCGACUCCUACGGGAGGCAGCAGUAAGGAAUAUUGGUCAAUGGAGGGAACUCUGAACCAGCCAUGCCGCGUGAAGGAUGACGGCCCUCUGGGUUGUAAACUUCUUUUGGAUGGGGCGAAAAAACGGGAUUUAUCCUGGACUGACGGUACCAUCAGAAUAAGCACCGGCUAACUCCGUG
This 482-nucleotide ribosomal RNA is filed under the name uncultured bacterium. Its description in RNAcentral is "bacterial SSU rRNA". It matches the Rfam family "Bacterial small subunit ribosomal RNA", at positions 29 to 507 of the family's 1533-position model. The record is from RNAcentral.